Molecule: ribosomal RNA, 253 nt
Filed under: uncultured bacterium
Lineage: Bacteria
Description: partial 16S ribosomal RNA
Rfam family: Bacterial small subunit ribosomal RNA
Source: RNAcentral
UACGUAGGUGGCAAGCGUUGUCCGGAUUUACUGGGCGUAAAGAGCGCGCAGGCGGUCGUUCAAGUCGCGUGUGAAAGCCCCCGGCUCAACUGGGGAGGGUCACGCGAUACUGAUCGACUCGAAGGCAGGAGAGGGUAGUGGAAUUCCCGGUGUAGUGGUGAAAUGCGUAGAUAUCGGGGGGAACACCAGUGGCGAAGGCGACUACCUGGCCUGUUCUUGACGCUGAGGCGCGAAAGCUAGGGGAGCAAACGGG